Molecule: ribosomal RNA, 253 nt
Filed under: uncultured bacterium
Lineage: Bacteria
Description: partial 16S ribosomal RNA
Rfam family: Bacterial small subunit ribosomal RNA
Source: RNAcentral
UACGUAGGGGGCAAGCGUUGUCCGGAAUCAUUGGGCGUAAAGAGCGCGUAGGCGGCCCGAUAAGUCCGCUGUGAAAGUCAAAGGCUCAACCUUUGAAAGCCGGUGGAUACUGUGGGGCUAGAGUACGGAAGAGGCGAGUGGAAUUCCUGGUGUAGCGGUGGAAUGCGCAGAUAUCAGGAGGAACACCAAUAGCGAAGGCAGCUCGCUGGGACGUUACUGACACUGAGGCGCGAAAGCGUGGGGAGCGAACAGG